AAAUUGAAGAGUUUGAUCAUGGCUCAGAUUGAACGCUGGCGGCAGGCCUAACACAUGCAAGUCGAACGGUAACAGGAAGCAGCUUGCUGCUUUGCUGACGAGUGGCGGACGGGUGAGUAAUGUCUGGGAAACUGCCUGAUGGAGGGGGAUAACUACUGGAAACGGUGGCUAAUACCGCAUAACGUCGCAAGACCAAAGAGGGGGACCUUCUGGCCUCUUGCCAUCAGAUGUGCCCAGAUGGGAUUAGCUAGUUGGUGAGGUAACGGCUCACCAAGGCGACGAUCCCUAGCUGGUCUGAGAGGAUGACCAGCCACACUGGAACUGAGACACGGUCCAGACUCCUACGGGAGGCAGCAGUGGGGAAUAUUGCACAAUGGGCGCAAGCCUGAUGCAGCCAUGCCGCGUGUAUGAAGAAGGCCUUCGGGUUGUAAAGUACUUUCAGCGGGGAGGAAGGUGUUGUGGUUAAUAACCGCAGCAAUUGACGUUACCCGCAGAAGAAGCACCGGCUAACUCCGUGCCAGCAGCCGCGGUAAUACGGAGGGUGCAAGCGUUAAUCGGAAUUACUGGGCGUAAAGCGCACGCAGGCGGUCUGUCAAGUCGGAUGUGAAAUCCCCGGGCUCAACCUGGGAACUGCAUUCGAAACUGGCAGGCUUGAGUCUUGUAGAGGGGGGUAGAAUUCCAGGUGUAGCGGUGAAAUGCGUAGAGAUCUGGAGGAAUACCGGUGGCGAAGGCGGCCCCCUGGACAAAGACUGACGCUCAGGUGCGAAAGCGUGGGGAGCAAACAGGAUUAGAUACCCUGGUAGUCCACGCCGUAAACGAUGUCUACUUGGAGGUUGUGCCCUUGAGGCGUGGCUUCCGGAGCUAACGCGUUAAGUAGACCGCCUGGGGAGUACGGCCGCAAGGUUAAAACUCAAAUGAAUUGACGGGGGCCCGCACAAGCGGUGGAGCAUGUGGUUUAAUUCGAUGCAACGCGAAGAACC
RNAcentral lists this ribosomal RNA (980 nucleotides) under Salmonella enterica subsp. enterica serovar Ohio. RNAcentral describes it as "bacterial SSU rRNA". It matches the Rfam family "Bacterial small subunit ribosomal RNA", at positions 1 to 970 of the family's 1533-position model. Lineage: Bacteria; Pseudomonadati; Pseudomonadota; Gammaproteobacteria; Enterobacterales; Enterobacteriaceae. The record is from RNAcentral.